Molecule: unclassified non-coding RNA, 1857 nt
Filed under: Hevea brasiliensis (rubber tree)
Lineage: Eukaryota; Viridiplantae; Streptophyta; Magnoliopsida; Malpighiales; Euphorbiaceae
Source: RNAcentral
GUUCAUGUGUGCAGAAAUUUUUCUACUGUAAAAUAAAAUUAAACAAGGUGCAAUGGGAGGGUUGAUUCACAUUCUUCAUUGUUGCUCAUACAUUGCAUUUGCAUAUAAUACAAACUUAUGCUCAAAAGUUGAAGGAAUCCUCAAUUGAAAAUGGAAAAGAAGCAAUGAAGAUAGAAAAGGAAAUCUCCUCUACAAUAUCCAAAAUCCCUUUCUGCUUGCUAUGACUUGUAAUCACUUCAUUAGAUAGGCUUGGGAAUUGAUCCACCAGCUGCCAGGACCCGUCGCUGAAGCUAAAAUCAUACAAGUAGAUUUCAGUUUGCUGUGAAACAAUUUAAGUUUUCAAGAAGCAUCCAUUUACUCUUUUUGUUUUGACUUACCUUGAACAGAGUUUCGAGCUUCGUUUUCAUUAGGGAGUACUCAUGUUUCACUUGUUGCAGGCAUUUUAGGCACCUGUAGCAGACCAGUUUUGCAUUAGAACAUGAAACUAUUCAUAAAUACAUUCCUUUUGAUUAAGAUUAAGCUCGAUAUUACGUGAGAUUAAGGUUAAAGAACAUUACCCUUCAGUAUUCUGCUCGUCGCAAUAGUUCCGGAAGGCAAUGCAGGCUUUCUGAACUCUCUGAGCACCUAUGCUGUUAUUUCAAGACAUUUUUCAUACUAGAAUAACUGAGAGAAGAAUCAUCAACAAUUUAUUUACCCUUUAUAGAUUCAUGGGAAAAUAUGAAGAAAAUCAAUUUUGCCAGACCAAGAUGAUUUGGAAUGUAUGAAAUUUGACUUUCUGCCACUAUUUUUUGAUCAACUGACCAAAAAAAACACAAAACUAACUGAUAUAAAAGACUUGUGCCAGAAAAAAUCAUCUGAAAGCGGCCACUAUAUUCAGAGUGAAACUGAUAGAACAUUCUGUGAGCUGCAUUUUAGAUUAAAAUCAACUGAAGGAAAUAUGCCUGAAUAAAUAGUUGUUUAAAACUAACAGGUGUUUUCCAGUUUCAAAUUCACUGGUCAUAAGAAGGGAAAUAUAGAGAAAGCCAGUUUAGUACCUGGAGCUGCUGCCCUUCAACUGGUGAACAUGAGCAUCUAUUCUUUUGAAAUCUACACUUUGCUGCUCUCUGUGCAAUAUAAGAAGACAAUAAAACAACCACAUUAGAUCUAUGAAGAAGAAAUACAACUAGGGAUUAUAUUCUUUAUUUGCAAAAGAAUUCCAAAAAAGGUAACAAUAAAAAACAAAAAAAUCUCACAGAGCUUUGGCCAGUUCAUUAAGAAGCCUUUCUGAAUCUUCAAAGAAAAGAGAUACAACUUCAACCACAAAAUCUGGGUUGCUUUCAUCUUGCAGUUGCUGAAGUUGAUUAAACUGUUCAUCCAAGAAUCCCUCAUGGAAAAGUGAAGCUGUGUAGUCAACUAACUGUCUUUGCAACUGAACCACACUAUCCAUUGUAGCUCUUCUCUAAGUUUUCUCUUAUUACUUGCAGAUCUUAUAGGAAUCACUUCAUCUGUUUCUUUCUUUCUUUCUUUGAAAACAAAUAAAAAUACAAAACCAAGAAAGGGAUUUGAUAAGGAUUCUUGCCUCUGGAGUAGACAAGAUAAAUAAGGAAUGUGGAGUCACUCUUUGGUCUUUACCAUCCUCCUUCUGGGUUGGUGUUUCUCAGUUUCUGUUGUUUUGUCUUCUCUCUGAACACUCCCAAGAAAAAAAUAACAAAUAAAUAAAACCAUCACAAGAUCCAAAACUUGAUUCCAUGUGCAAUUUACUUUCCUUAAUCUUUCUUUCAGUAAUUAUUGAUCUCUCUCUGCAAUAUUUAUUUUUGUUUUGUUUUUCUACUCCAAGUUGCUAACUUCUCCAAAGAGGCAUGACAAUUUCAAAGUCUG